AUUGAACGCUGGCGGCAGGCCUAACACAUGCAAGUCGAGCGGCAGCGGGGGAAAGCUUGCUUUCCCGCCGGCGAGCGGCGGACGGGUGAGUAAUGUCUGGGAAACUGCCUGAUGGAGGGGGAUAACUACUGGAAACGGUAGCUAAUACCGCAUAACGUCUUCGGACCAAAGUGGGGGACCUUCGGGCCUCAUGCCAUCAGAUGUGCCCAGAUGGGAUUAGCUAGUAGGUGGGGUAACGGCUCACCUAGGCGACGAUCCCUAGCUGGUCUGGGAGGAUGACCAGCCACACUGGAACUGAGACACGGUCCAGACUCCUACGGGAGGCAGCAGUGGAGAAUAUUGCACAAUGGGCGCAAGCCUGAUGCAGCCAUGCCGCGUGUAUGAAGAAGGCCUUCGGGUUGUAAAGUACUUUCAGCGGGGAGGAAGGUGCUGUGGUUAAUAACCACAGCAAUUGACGUUACCCGCAGAAGAAGCACCGGCUAACUCCGUGCCAGCAGCCGCCGUAA
RNAcentral lists this ribosomal RNA (506 nucleotides) under uncultured bacterium. Its description in RNAcentral is "partial 16S ribosomal RNA". It matches the Rfam family "Bacterial small subunit ribosomal RNA", at positions 30 to 523 of the family's 1533-position model. The record is from RNAcentral.